Molecule: transfer RNA, 76 nt
Filed under: Candidatus Saccharimonadota bacterium
Lineage: Bacteria; Candidatus Saccharimonadota
Also listed under: 1 other name
Description: tRNA-Thr
Rfam family: tRNA
About the family: Transfer RNA (tRNA) molecules are approximately 80 nucleotides in length. Their secondary structure includes four short double-helical elements and three loops (D, anti-codon, and T loops).
Source: RNAcentral
GCCCAAAUAGCUCAAUUGGUAGAGCAGCUGUUUUGUAAACAGCCGGUUAGCGGUUCGAGUCCGCUUUUGGGCUCCA